AACGAACGCUGGCGGCAUGCCUAACACAUGCAAGUCGAACGAAACCUUCGGGUCUAGUGGCGCACGGGUGCGUAACGCGUGGGAACCUGCCCUUAGGUUCGGAAUAACUUCCCGAAAGGGGUGCUAAUACCGGAUAAUUUCUCCGGACCAAAGAUUUAUCGCCUUUGGAUGGGCCCGCGUUGGAUUAGCUAGUUGGUAGGGUAAAAGCCUACCAAGGCGACGAUCCAUAGCUGGUCUGAGAGGAUGAUCAGCCACACUGGGACUGAGACACGGCCCAGACUCCUACGGGAGGCAGCAGUGGGGAAUAUUGGACAAUGGGCGAAAGCCUGAUCCAGCAAUGCCGCGUGAGUGAUGAAGGCCUUAGGGUUGUAAAGAUCUUUUACCCGGGAUGAUAAUGACAGUACCGGGAGAAUAAGCUCCGGCUAACUCCGUG
Molecule: ribosomal RNA, 433 nt
Filed under: uncultured bacterium
Lineage: Bacteria
Description: partial 16S ribosomal RNA
Rfam family: Bacterial small subunit ribosomal RNA
Source: RNAcentral